RNAcentral lists this long non-coding RNA (1191 nucleotides) under Anser cygnoides (Swan goose). Its description in RNAcentral is "lncRNA (ENSACDG00005019395.1)". Lineage: Eukaryota; Metazoa; Chordata; Aves; Anseriformes; Anatidae. The record is from RNAcentral.
GGGCUGGAAAAAAAAUGUUUAAAUCUUGGAAAUAAGAUAAAGAAUUCUUGAUCAACUCAACUAAAAAUGAAUAACAUCUGAAAAAAAAAAGACAUAAAGUAGAGAUGCUUUUGGAGUACAACUCUGUUUAUGAGACUUAUGCAUCUGUAAACUGAAAAUAGUGACUUUGAAACUAGUCAGUUAUUGCUUAGUAAUGCAUCUUGGUAAGGCUCUUAUCCAGAACUUAAAGUGCCAUGGCAACUUCUGCAACUGUGGCUAUAUUUCUGUGAACUUCUGUAAAAAAUUUUGAUUUUUUUUCUUUCUUUUUUGUGGAAGUUUAAAAAAAUAUGCAUAUUUGGUGCCUUUUGUAGAUAUUUCAGGGUGGCAUUUAUUUUUUCUGUAUCACUGAGUUUCUCGGAGAUGGUAGGAGGGAAGUUUGUCAUCAUUCCUUGCAAGAAGCAGGCAUCGUGCCCAAGAGCAGGUGUUAUUACUGCUGCAGGAUAUUUUGUAUAAACACCUUGUGAUGUGACCUACAUAUUCCCAUAGCCUCUGGUGAGAAUUAACACUAAUAUUUACAACAUGACCCACUUCUCCCCAGCUUUUUAGUGCAUCAAGGAGCUUGUUAACAUCACCAGCUGACUAUGGCACAGUCAGCUGUCUCGUCUUCUCAAGUACUCAGUGCAGUAGUGUUAAGGCAGGGUGAGACAGAGUAAGCACAAUGUGUAGAAAUGCAAAACCUACUAAGAAGAAUAAUAGUUCUGGAACACAUAAAAAUAGAACAUUGAAAGAGCUGUGACAAAGCUGUGUUCUGAGCUUUUUUCAGGGAUAAUUCUCAGCAAGGACAGCCAAACACCUUGGGAAAAUCAAACAUUCGAGGAUCAGAAACUCAUGUAUGCUUUGUAGAGCUUGAAGAGCUGUUUAGCUCUGAAGGUCAAAGUGUGGUGAACACAUCAAAGAGAACUGCAGAGUGUUCCUUGCUGAAUUUGUUCUUUUCUUUUGUCUCUCCACAGAAGAAUAUCAUGUUGCCAAAGGCUUACAAUGAAAAGACUGGCAUUUUUAUUUCACUGUAGUUGAAACAGCACUGGCUGUAUCAUGAUGGAUCACAUGUACUCUUUGGAGUCAAUUCUUCAGAUUCAACUGCUUAAUUAAAUUUUAAGCAUUAUUGAUUUAGUUUACAUAGCCUUCCCACUUCCAGCACCACUGAAUCUGAAG